GAUUACAGCUGCUAAUUUUGGCAUGUCCUUUUGGUUAAUCAUUGCUUUUGAAGUUGCCCUGGUCUUAGGUCAAGAUAAUUUUGAGCUACUUGGCGACGACCAGGUUUUGCUGUACACAUAAAUCAAUGUCUUUCAGUUAGAAAGAUACACGGAAAUGGUAUAUCACACCUGUGGGGUAUAUAUAAGCACAUAUAUGCAUGUAUUUCACGUCACUAAUCGGUGGUUUUGGUGCAGCAGCAGCAGCACGAACUGGAUGGCUCCGCAUCCCUCAGAGGCUCCCGGUAGCCGCCGCCAUUUCCUCUUGGUGGCCUCUUGAGGCCUGCCUGCUUGCUCAGGACCAUGAUGGCAGCAGAGCUGCCACACGAGGCUGCUGGUCACCCCAAGGGGCCAGUGCAGAGAAGGUGGACACUAAUGAAUGACUGCAGUGCUGCCCUGAGUGAGGGGGUCCCCACUAUUAAAAGUUUAAUAGAAAGAUCUGAGAAGCUGGGAGCCAAGAGGAGGAGGAGGGGACAAGGAGCUGUGAGUAACUCGGUUCAGGCCACCAAAAUGUUUGGGAUCCUGGGGUACUGA
Molecule: long non-coding RNA, 570 nt
Filed under: Anas platyrhynchos platyrhynchos (common mallard)
Lineage: Eukaryota; Metazoa; Chordata; Aves; Anseriformes; Anatidae
Description: lncRNA (ENSAPLG00000030230.1)
Source: RNAcentral